ACGUACUGUCUGUUAAAUCUGCAGCGAGAUUUAAAGUAUUGGUUAUCAAUACUCCACAGUUGUUAUUGCUAAGGAAUGAGAUUAUUUUAUUGUCAGGCUGGUUCUCCUCCAGACCUCCACUGGCAAAAUGUGAAGGAGUUGCUAUAGAUUUCAGUGCUCUAGUGGUUUUUUUCUCUCUCUAAUCAACAUAACACUAUAUAACCCAUAACACCUCUAGAACUCUACCUGAUAUUUACAAUGCGAAAGCAGCCUUCUUAUUUUAAAAUAGCACCAGUAGCUCUUUUGAUUUUAUGAUUAACCUAGUCAGGAAACAUCAUAGAGAUCAGGAUAAGCUCUCACCCCUGAAACUUGACCCCUACGGACAUCUUCGUUUUCUGGGUAUUAGUAGUUAAGCACAUUCAGUGGGCUAGGCAGGUAAAUUAUUGAAUCUUCACUAUGUUCUGGGAAUUAAAAAGAUAAAAAAGACAGAUGUCUGGACUUUUGUUGGAGGAAAUUGGCAUGUAAACAAAACAAUUUCAAAUCUGUGUGUUAACUGCUGGGAGAGAGAUAUGUAAGAGGCACAGUGGGUUUCUGUUGUUGCUGUUUUUUGUUAUUUUGUUUUUAACAGAUGGAAUAAUCCAUUUUUGCCUGGGGACAGUGAAAGGACAGAGGAACGUCUCAUUAGAGAAGGUGUUUGACUUGGACCCUGAAGAAUUUUGCCAGGUGGAGAUAGAGAAAGACUCUAGCCAAGGAAAAGUUAAUUUGAAAAGGCAGAGAGUCAGAAGAAAGCAAACCCUUUUUUCCUUCAUGGCAAAUUUCUCAAAACGGAAUUGCUGGAUCAAAGGAGAUGUACACAUAGAAGACUUUUGUUAUGUCCUGCUUCAUUUCCCUCCUGGAAGAUGCAUCAACCUCUACGCCCACCAGCAGCCAAGUGCUAAUUUUUGAAAGUACACUGUAAUGCAUCCAAUGUAGACAAUGGUGUGGGUGAAUUUAAAGCUGCUUUUUAGUAAAUUCACAAGGAAAUAUCUGAGUCGGUUAAAAAGAAGUUCCUCUUUUCCGACUACAUUUCCAGUCAUAGGAACAAUGAGAUCCUCGGGAAGAUACAAAAAUGAAUGUGACAACCCUGGCGUACGACUGCUUCAGGAAAUCUUCAUGUGAGUGAACUGCAUGGAGUCUCACCAGAGAGGACUCUUUUUGAGUUUUGUGACAUGGAUGUCCUUCUAAGUCUCUGGAACAUUCCAAUAGACCAAAUUUGGAAAAGAAAGCCAUUACAUUGUGGAAAAUUUAAAGGCUAAGACAUUCCAAAGACAAAUGAUGAAUCGAAAACAGUAUCGACAAAAUUUAACUUCAGUUUAUAGCCGACAAACUGCUACAAUUUUGCACAUGGGUGCACAUGUGGAAGCUUUUCCAUAAGAGACAGCAGCCACCACAAAUAUUUGUGAAGAUGUGCUUUCUCCUUUGUCUAGGGUUUACGCUCUCCAGUUUAGAUUGAAUUCAUGUGGUAUCCUGGGUUGUUCAUUGUUGUAAUGUUUUACUUUGUUCGGAAAUUGAUGCUAUUGUCAUUCAACUCUCUGAGUGACACAUCAACACAGCCUUCUUUGAGUGCCAAGCAAUAUGGAUUACAGAGUAAACACAGUGCAGAAACCACAAGUUCUCAAGCCUGCAAAUCACGAUUAGUUCAGCAAGAAUCCAGGACACUGAAGGAAAGAUGAAGAGAAACAACCCUUCAAAAGUGAAGAAGGAGCAAUUAUCACCUCUAUAUAUUUUGAAUCAUACUCUAGGAAAUGUUAGAAUAAAAGAUGAAAAUUGGUGAGUUCAAUAUUAUUUUUAUUGGAAUAAAUGUUCAGGUGGAAUGUCAAUUUAUUUUUGAGUACACAAUCUUGCCAAAUCUAAAACAUUCAUAAAUAGAACUUUUAAAUUUGAUCUCUUGCCUUGUCAAGAAUUCUCAUACUACUUUUCUAAAAUAAGAUAUCUACCUAAUAAUGGAAGUAUUUAUCUCAAAUUCAGUAUUUAAAUCGCUACUUUGAAUGACUCCUGAAAUUAAUCUAAUCUGAAGUUUAUAUAUCUUUGUAAAUUUUUUUUUAUUUUGACAACAUAGUUUCAUAAGCUAUGAUUAGUUUGGGGGUUUUGUGGGCGUAGUGUACAAGAUAACCAGGUGGAAAAGUUUUUGACUUAUCAAAGCCGCACUUUGAGAAGUAAGGAAAUGCAGCCUUCUUGACUGGUAUCUCCAUAAUUAUUUGUACAAUUUUCUGAGCUGUUUGACAAAUUCCCAUUUGUCUUUAAAAUAAGAGGACCAUAGGGAGAACGACCUCAGGCCUUCAAGGUAUUUUAAAAAUCUUUCUUGUACAAACAAUAUUUAAGCCAGAGGGGGAAAAAUUGAUACUUUUUGGAAUUUUAGGUCAGAUCAUAAUAUUACUACUCCGAAUCCACUGAAAUUUUGGCUCUAAGGGACAUUUUGACAUCAUUCUUACUCUCUCUGAAUUAACAUUUAAAUAUUUAUGCAAUUUUUCAGUCUAGAAGAGGAACUGUAAGACUUCCCUGAAUGAGAGGUUAAGCAAAGGUUAUGAUGUUACAAAUUAGAACUAAAUACGACACCGAUACUGAGAAACUGGAAUCCUGUUAGUUAGACUAAUAAUGAAUCAAGUCAAUGAGACAAAGGGUCCCUCAAGGUGAAGUUUGCUGGAGUCUGAAUAUAAAUGGCCAUGUUAUUAAUAAUGCAUCCAUUCAUGAAAAUGCUGUAAUACUAGUUUAUGCCACAGAAAAGACAAAGUGUGAGUCAGUGUGAAGGUGUGGAUAAAAGAGAAUUAUUUAUGCCUCUCAAUUUAAAGAAAGUUUAAUAAAGGGGUAAAUAAGUUUGCCUAAUCUGUAAUUUAUUUCCCCAUAUUUUUUCCAAACUGAAUAAGAAUUUGGCAUUGUUUUUAUUUUCAGUGAAGUAGUCUUAUUAGUUUAAAAUAAAGCAUUAAAAAAAGUUUAGAUUUCCGGGAUUCAUUUGGAGAAUUAAAUUGUAACAUACCCUAUUUUUAUAAACAGGUUUCACUGUCUUGGUACAUUUCUGCAUAUAUAUGAGGGACCGAAAUAAUGUAAAGUUUACAAUGGUGUUUUUGUCCCUCUACCCAAAGUUUUUAUCCCUGCCCUUAAGUAUAAUUGAAAAUGGACUGUUUUACUAGCCUAUAAUUUUGAAGACACUGUAGAGGUGUACAGAAUUAAAUUUGAACAUUUUCACAAAUUUAAAUCUAUCUUUAUCAUUUUGUUUCACAUUCACAUGUAG
Molecule: long non-coding RNA, 3247 nt
Organism: Equus caballus (horse)
Lineage: Eukaryota; Metazoa; Chordata; Mammalia; Perissodactyla; Equidae
Source: Ensembl